GUCUCAUCCAGUUCUGGGCGGACCCAGGCAGGAGUUUCCUCGAAGGAUUAGACAUCCUAGUUCUGCAACAGGCCGCCAGGUCGAGGGUACGCUAAGAAGAAGCUGAAAGCCACCCUACUGUCCCCCAGAGGCAGGAAGCAGAGGCAGAGGCAGAGGCAGGAAGGUCACCGAGAAUUUGAGACCAGCCUGGGCUAAGAAUGAUUGGCAAAAUGGGCCUGGUUUGAUAACAGAGAGGUCCUGUGUCCCAGCUCCUGACCUAGUUAAGGUCUCAGUUAAUCAGCCUAACAAUCAUCAGAUAUGUGAGUAAGGAAGAUUUCUAAACAAAUCCACGUCCAGCUGCCAAGUGACCAGUUGCAGGAGAGACUCCCACCCUAGCUGAGAUCAGUCAGGAUCUCAAUAUGUAGUCCAGGCUGGCCUAAAAUUCACGAUCUCCUGCCUCAGCCUCCCAG
RNAcentral lists this long non-coding RNA (449 nucleotides) under Heterocephalus glaber (naked mole-rat). RNAcentral describes it as "lncRNA (ENSHGLG00100039775.1)". Lineage: Eukaryota; Metazoa; Chordata; Mammalia; Rodentia; Bathyergidae. The record is from RNAcentral.